RNAcentral lists this ribosomal RNA (910 nucleotides) under uncultured bacterium. RNAcentral describes it as "bacterial SSU rRNA". It matches the Rfam family "Bacterial small subunit ribosomal RNA", at positions 33 to 925 of the family's 1533-position model. The record is from RNAcentral.
ACGCUGGCGGCGUGCCUAAUACAUGCAAGUAGAACGCUGAAGAGAGGAGCUUGCUCUUCUUGGAUGAGUUGCGAACGGGUGAGUAACGCGUAGGUAACCUGCCUUGUAGCGGGGGAUAACUAUUGGAAACGAUAGCUAAUACCGCAUAACAAUAGGUGACACAUGUCAUUUAUUUGAAAGGGGCAAUUGCUCCACUACAAGAUGGACCUGCGUUGUAUUAGCUAGUUGGUGGGGUAACGGCUCACCAAGGCGACGAUACAUAGCCGACCUGAGAGGGUGAUCGGCCAUACUGGGACUGAGACACGGCCCAGACUCCUACGGGAGGCAGCAGUAGGGAAUCUUCGGCAAUGGACGGAAGUCUGACCGAGCAACGCCGCGUGAGUGAAGAAGGUUUUCGGAUCGUAAAGCUCUGUUGUAAGAGAAGAACGGGUGUGAGAGUGGAAAGUUCACACUGUGACGGUAUCUUACCAGAAAGGGACGGCUAACUACGUGCCAGCAGCCGCGGUAAUACGUAGGUCCCGAGCGUUGUCCGGAUUUAUUGGGCGUAAAGCGAGCGCAGGCGGUUAGAUAAGUCUGAAGUUAAAGGCUGUGGCUUAACCAUAGUACGCUUUGGAAACUGUUUAACUUGAGUGCAAGAGGGGAGAGUGGAAUUCCAUGUGUAGCGGUGAAAUGCGUAGAUAUAUGGAGGAACACCGGUGGCGAAAGCGGCUCUCUGGCUUGUAACUGACGCUGAGGCUCGAAAGCGUGGGGAGCAAACAGGAUUAGAUACCCUGGUAGUCCACGCCGUAAACGAUGAGUGCUAGGUGUUGGAUCCUUUCCGGGAUUCAGUGCCGCAGCUAACGCAUUAAGCACUCCGCCUGGGGAGUACGACCGCAAGGUUGAAACUCAAAGGAAUUGACGGGGGCCCGCA